RNAcentral lists this small RNA (273 nucleotides) under uncultured Mycobacterium sp. RNAcentral describes it as "5' ureB small RNA". It matches the Rfam family "5' ureB small RNA". The record is from RNAcentral. Lineage: Bacteria; Bacillati; Actinomycetota; Actinomycetes; Mycobacteriales; Mycobacteriaceae.
GAAAUGCACGUGAACGUCGAUUGCACCGGCCGUGGCGAUCAUGCCCUCGCCGGAACGAAUGUCGGUGCCGGCCCCGAUGACGAGUUCGGGAUCGACCCCGGCCAUUGUGCGUGGGUUGCCGGCCUUACCGAUCCCGGCGAUGCGACCGUUGCGAAUCCCGAUGUCGGCCUUUCGGAUACCCAGGACCGCAUCGAUGAUCAAUGCGUUGGUGAUGACGAAAUCCAAAGCGCCUUCGGCGUUGGUGACGUCACCCUGUACGGCCAUCCCCUCGCG